GACGAACGCUGGCGGCGUGCUUAACACAUGCAAGUCGAACGGAGAGGCCCUGCUUUUGUGGGGUGCUCGAGUGGCGAACGGGUGAGUAACACGUGAGUAACCUGCCCUUGACUUUGGGAUAACUUCAGGAAACUGGGGCUAAUACCGGAUAGGAGCUCCUGCUGCAUGGUGGGGGUUGGAAAGUUUCGGCGGUUGGGGAUGGACUCGCGGCUUAUCAGCUUGUUGGUGGGGUAGUGGCUUACCAAGGCUUUGACGGGUAGCCGGCCUGAGAGGGUGACCGGCCACAUUGGGACUGAGAUACGGCCCAGACUCCUACGGGAGGCAGCAGUGGGGAAUAUUGCACAAUGGGCGGAAGCCUGAUGCAGCAACGCCGCGUGUGGGAUGACGGCCUUCGGGUUGUAAACCGCUUUCGCCUGUGACGAAGCGUGAGUGACGGUAAUGGGUAAAGAAGCACCGGCUAACUACGUGCCAGCCGCCGCUGUAA
RNAcentral lists this ribosomal RNA (484 nucleotides) under uncultured bacterium. RNAcentral describes it as "partial 16S ribosomal RNA". It matches the Rfam family "Bacterial small subunit ribosomal RNA", at positions 28 to 523 of the family's 1533-position model. The record is from RNAcentral.